CCGACCCUCUCUCUCCUGUUCGCCCGAUUUCGAGGUCUCGCGAUCCGAUUCCCCUCUGAUAUCUCCCGCUUCUGAUGGGCUGACGUUGAAGCCGAUCGAUUCAUUCGAAGAUUUGUUGUUCUUGAUUCGGUUUUCGCGGUGCUGGGGAUUAGGGUGUGGUUGUUGGAUUUGAAGAGCAUCGACGAUGCCUUCGGUGCUCGGGGAAUUCUUCCACAGGCGAGCGGCGGGCGCGGCAGCCACGAUCUCCUCCCAGACCUCGUUCCAUGGCGGUUCUAGUAGUUGUUCCCAUCGUCUGAAACAGUUGGAGAAGUGGAAUCGUCGUGGUAAUCUCUAACAUUAGGUCCCCAAGGGUAGAUCUCACCCUCGUCCUUCACUCCUUUGGGAUUUCUCCUUGCUUUCUUCGUCGUCUUGUUCGUCCUUCUUCUUCUUCUUCUUCUCCGUUUCUGGGUUUGUCAGCAAUUCGCCUUAUUCUUGGAAUUUGCAUCUGAAUCUGAGUGUGCUCCUCGGGGAACGCCGGGGUUGUUUCCUUGGGUUUGGGCUUUGGAUUAGAGGAGUCAGGAGCUUUUGCGUUAUUUGCUGUUGUUCGCGGAGAUUACAGCGUUCUCGGUUGAGAUUUCAUCACAGCAAUCCCUGGAUGGGAAGAUCCACACCUUGUGCAAGUCCAACUUCUGAUGAUGCUGGCUGCAAAUUAUCUUUCUUCAGUGCUAACUAUAAGCAAUCAUGCAUGGAACAAGACCAGCGUACUUAUGGUAUUAUGGAAAAGAAUGUGAAGGGAAUGUCUUUGGAGGACAUUGAUAUUUCCUCUAUAACUGAGAAUGGUGAUUUGAGCAUUCAAGAACUUGGAGUCACUUUUAAUGAAGUCCUGCAUAUUCGUGAGAGCCAUGAGUGUUUGGAUAACAGUAAUGUCAUGUUAAAUCAGGAUGAGUUCUGCACUGACACUGAAAUGCACUCUCUCUCUGUUGAUACAAAUAUGUUAAAAGGUUUAAGCAAAUGUGAAACAAUGUUAUUCUCAGAGUUAGAGAUGUUGCAAUCACGUCCUUUAGACAUAGAUGUAGGAGAGGGAUCAUCAAGAACAGUAGUGCAUAUUGAGGGUUCUUCUAAGCCUGUUGAGCUAUCUAGAACCUGCCUUGCAAUUACCAUGUUUCCGUGUGUCCAGGCCAUCAACAAGCAUCAAAUUGAAGACUACUGCAAAGUUGGUGUCUGCCAUGAAAGGAAGUCGUAAACAAGAGGGGCUGCUCCCGAAGAUAAAGUUGAGCCUGAAGUGGGCGCCAGAUGUCUAUGACCCACCCUCAACAUCUGAGUCACACACAGUAAAGGGUCAUCGCCAUCAUUCCGAGUCCAUAAAAAGGGAUUAUUACAAGCACAAGCAUACCAGGAGCAAGUCCUCUCGAGGGAGCGGUGGUGACCUUAAACAUGCUUACAGGAGAAGUGCUAGCAAUUCAAUCAAUCGUCGAAUCUUGAGGUUCCGAGUGGUUGAUGAUAGAUCCACAAUAAAUGAUCGUGGUCGGUCCGAUGGGGAGGUCCUGGACUUUGCAGUUAGGACCCAAGAAUUGAAGUGUGGAAGCAACUUCUGCAUGGAUUCACUUUCUGCAGACCAUUUUCCAGUUGCCAACGCAUCCUGAGUGAGUGGAAACUUUUAGACCGUGAAGCAACGCUUUUCUUUGCUUAUGAAUAAAGAUCACGACUGCCGGCAUGCAGAAUAGUUGUUUGAUUCAUCUUUCUUGGACAUCCAGAGCUGAAUUCUCUGUUUGUUGGUUGAUAAUAUGCACCAUCGACAGUGAUUCUCUUGUUUGUCUGUCCUCAUAGAACUGAAGACAAUCGAUUUAAUUAUUGAGAGCAGUCUGUUGUUUUAAUAAUUCAUGCCAAUUGGAACAAUUCUUUGCUGGCCGUCUCCCGUUGGUGACCCGGAGAGGAGCUGGAAGGAGUAGAUUUUUUGUUCUGAUGCGAGGUUGAUUUAUGCUUCACCGGAUGGGUGGCUGACAUGGUUGGCGCUCGGGAGGUGGGCACAUCGAGCACGGUCGAGUCCUCGGGCCCAUGGUUAAAUUGGAAACGCCUUGAACCAUACCGAGUUGUAUCAAAAUAUUUUUAAGUAGACUAUCAAAAUGAUUAAAUAGGUGUUCUUCUGAUCAACUUUUUUUUCUUAAAUAAAUUAGUGUCGUGCCAACUUUUUUUGGUAAUGGUGAUUGGUGGGACAUUGCCUGUACCUGAACGGGAGGGUCUGUACGUUAGAUUUUGUCGUGUUUUGCACGUUGUAUGGACUCGCACAUGAUCGGUAAUUACAAAAACCAGAUAAACAGAA
Phoenix dactylifera (date palm) is the source of this 2299-nucleotide non-coding RNA. Lineage: Eukaryota; Viridiplantae; Streptophyta; Magnoliopsida; Arecales; Arecaceae. The record is from RefSeq and is a predicted model, not a curated record.